CGAACCCACCUUGAGGGGGAGUGUUGAAGAAAACAGAAGUGUGAAAUAAGUUUGGUAUCAGAGGCUGCACAAGCUAGGCUGCUUGUGCAGACCUCUCAUCACUGACCAAGGGAAAAAGGAAACAUCCUUUUCCUGCAAAGCAGGAAAGGUCACUUCUAUCUUUUUUCCAAUUUAGAAUUACCCGUUAGGACAACCGUUAGAAAGGAACUCAGCAUGUAUAUAUUGCCAUCACCAUUUGUAAAUAACUCAAAAUACUUGUAUCUACAUCAAUUCAUCACAGUUUAAUAAAAUUCACACAUAACCUUAGCAGCAAAUGUCACCAACCUGUUCAAAGCAUUAGGCAUGAAUUUUCUUGCGGACAAGAAUCAAAUGUCACUUAUCUUCCCAUUGUAAUUACGUACGAAUUCGAUCCUAAGCCUUAGUGACAUCAUUCUUCCAGACCUUUUAAAUUAAUAAUAUAUAACGAAUAAAAGACAAAAGAAAAAGAAAAGCGAGCAAAUUAGUUCUUUCCUCAAAUUUAAAAAACAAAAACAGAGCUCUUGUAGAAAGAAAAAGUGACAAAAAAGAAAAAGACUAAGCAAAGAAGUUUCAGGAAAGAAACAUUUUCCACUGCUCCCCUCACCUGAAUCCUCCUUUACCAGUUCUUUUCUCUAUUCCAUAACGCUCGAAAUAGAGAUCAUAAAACUUUGGGCUGCCACAAGAAACAUACGGAUCUGGCAAUUAAUAAGAUGAAUGAGAAAAUUGAACCCGAAAUGCCACUAUUGGAACCUGUUGAUAGGAUCUCGGAAUUACCUGAGCACAUUAUUCACCACAUUCUGUCCUCCCUAUUAGCAGAUGAUGUUGUUCGUACUGGUGCCUUGUCAAAGUUUUGGCAAUCCCUAUGUUCUUCCUUCCCCAUAUCUGAUUUUUCUGACUCGUUUUGUGAUCUUGAAUCAGAAUCAGCAUAGAAUCAGAAAUUCGUGACAAAAGAGACAAGUUUUUUAAUUUUGUUUACUCUUCUCUCCUAAGGCUUUGUGAGCACAGGGGAUACAUACAUAAAUUUCAUUAAUCCAUUGCCAUUACUUACUGUAACACACGUACGAGCAUUAUUCAGGAAAAACAGCAAGUUGAUCGUUGGUUGGCUAUAGCUGCAGCAAAUCAUAUUCAGGAAUUAGAUCUUCACAUUCACAUUGAAAAAUGUUCAAGAGUAGUAUAUGUAUUGCAAAAGGAAUAUCUUCUGCCUCAAUCUAUUUUAUCUGCCAAUUC
This is a long non-coding RNA of Ricinus communis (castor bean), 1245 nucleotides long. RefSeq lists it as uncharacterized. The transcript has 2 exons. Lineage: Eukaryota; Viridiplantae; Streptophyta; Magnoliopsida; Malpighiales; Euphorbiaceae. The record is from RefSeq and is a predicted model, not a curated record.